UGUGUCUCCAUUAAGCUGAGGGUCCUUUCUCAGCUCCCGUUCUCCAGGGAACGUGGAUGGGUGAGUGCUGGGACAUCAAAUCAGUGCACAAGAGGGGUAACAUUUGUUGAAUUUAUUAAUAACACAAAGCAAAAAGCACCCAACUGGGUGCUUUCGCCAGCUCUGCACAUGGAAAGAAUGUGACCUCCUAGUGGUGACGUUUCACUGUGUGUGCCGCAUAGCCUUGCCCCUCAGUUUCAUCUGAAAUCCAAAAGCUCACCAGGUUAACUCAUACUUUUGUGCAGGAUCCUAAAGCCAGCUGAGCAUUUAUCAUCCUUGAGGAAUCCGGCCCGUAGAGGUUUAAUUAAUUUUUUUCAUACACACAUAAACAGAUUCAAGAUGUUCUUGCUCAACCAGGGGAUAAAGGGUUCUCCCACUAUCUCAGUUCUCAAUCAGAAAAGCGGUCAGUUCCAACGUGCCAAGAUUCUCCCAAAGCCUUAAUUGCCAUCAUCUGUGUUUACUAACGUAGGCUUAUAAGCAUCCUGAAAAACAAGGACAAUACCCUUUUCCAUCAUGAACUUAGAAAUCCAGAUAGUUCCAGGCUUGAGUUGCUUGUUAGAUGUGCCUGUAGCCUUGACUUGUCUGAUAGGAAUAGAAGAUCCAUACUUCAAAAGUAAUGCUGGCCAGCUUCAGCCAGCUGCCCAGCCUCUCAAGAACAGAGAUGUUAAAAGCCAUAAUUCCAGCUUGGAAAAGUACAGAGUAUUAACUAGAUCUCCCCUGUUCACCUAGGUUCUCAAGGUUCACUUAAGUUCACUGUUCUUCUCAAGUUACUGCACCAUGCUGUAAGACAUUGUGAAACAGGUUCCUCGCUGUUAGUACCACGUGUGGGUGGAUGCUAAAGAGUCUUAUCUCUAGUGAAUCCUCAUCUGAUAUAAAAAUGAGCUACAACAUGAUUGCAUUCCAUCUGGGGAUUGGGCUAUACACAAUAUAACGAUGCUGGUAUCACAUAGAAUUAAAAAUGAAUGAUUUUGCCAUGUAGCAGCUAUUGGGUGAUCCAGCUCGGUUCCUUGGGAAACAAACUCAGCACCUGGAAAGAGCCACCACAAUGCCUUUCCUUCCUCACAGAGCAUCCCAAGCACCCCAGCUUGCUUCUCCCUUCCUCCAUGUCAGAAGGCAGGCUAUGUUCCCAGCGAAGUCCAAUGAAGCUGAUGAGCCUCUAAGUGAUCUCACUGAUCAUAGAAUCAUAGAAUCGCUAAGGUUGGAAAAGACCCACAGGAUCAUCCAGUCCAACCAUUCGCCCUUCACCAAUGGUUCCCACUAAACCAUGUCCCUCAACACAAUAUCCAAACGCUCUUUGAACACCACCAGGGUCGGUGACUCCACCACCUCUCUGGGCAGCCCAUUCCAGUGCCUGACCACCCUUUCAGAGAAGUAGUAUUUCCUAAUGCCCUGAUCUUGAAUAAGGAAAAAAUGAUUGAGCUUAGAAUUCAAAGAAGUAAAAAAAUUCCACCCUUCUAUCCUUCUCUGCCAAAGCCCAAGUAUUUAAAUUGAGUACAAUUGCAACUGGGCAAAAACAAAAUGAAACAAACCAAGACAAACUGAAUAAUGUGAUUACCUGGGAUCUCAGUCUUGUCAUUGGGAAUUCAGGUUAAAAAAAUCUCCCAAAAAACCAAAAUUUAAAGCCAAAAUCAUCUACAAAAUGAGGGAGUCCAGCACGGGGACAUGGCUCCUGCCGUGGGAUGAUUCUACAUGUCAGAUGUCAUUGUGACAGACUGCCCUCUGCUGCCAUCACACAGCAACAAAAUGUAAUUAAUAUUGAUGGGGAGGUUCAGCCUUCUCUGCUGUACUGCCGUCAUCUGCCUCUGAUAUCAUGGGCCAACAUAAUAAAAUAGGAGGCAUCACUUUCGGAGCACUCCGGAAUUUUCCUGCAAAUCUGUGCAGUUUGUCAGCUUCCACUUUGCACUCAGGCAGUGCAGAGGAAGCCAUGCUCUUGGCCAGGUGCUGGUCCUGAUGACAGGGAACCAGGGGUGCUGAGAGGUCAGGGAACAGCUGGAAGGGGUCUUCAGCAGAAGGAGAUCCAGGAGGACUGUAUAUUUUCAGAUGUGAGGAACCUCAAAAUCUUUCAUGCAGGAUGAACUUAGAUCCCAAGUUACCAUACUUCUGGCAUGUUUUAGUGUUAAAAAGUAAAAUACCAGAAUUUGGGAUUCUCUGUAGCAUGAGAAUGCCUUUCCAGAGCAGCCUGGAGAAGGAGUUUGUUCACAGAUCGCUACAGCUAUUAAUAAAUGUCAUUACUAAUUUUUUUUGCUUUAUUAAGCAAAAUAACACGAAUCCUUUCCUCAUAAAUUGUAACAGGAACUCCUCCCUGCCUGGUCCUCUGGCUGACGAGGAUUGUAGGUCUAAUUAUUGGAACAUGUGCUUUAAAGUGUUUUAGUGUCAUGUAUUCCUUUAAUUGUAUUAUACCGUAAGCCUGCUCUAGAAAUAACACUAUUAAAGUUUCCAUUCAAAACAAAGAUCAAUCAAAGAGACAAGCAAUUAUUCCAUUAUCCUUAAGAAGCUCAUAACAUAAUGAAAGGAAUGUUAAAAAUAAACAAAAUGGGUGUACUUGAUUGAAAGAAUAGAUCAGUCAUAAUGACUUUUCUCAGAGAGUAAAAAAUUAACCAGGAUUAAGUUUUCGCAGUUUUGAAUACAUUACAGAUUCCCUGUUUCUAACGAUUAAAUAGGGAAAGCUUUCUCCAACAAUAAACUAAGAGUGAAAUUAGUAACAGUUGUAUCUGAGUAGAAGCAAGAGAGAAGACUGAAAGCCAAAGUUGCGGUCUUAUAGAGCAGGAGAGGUUGAAUAACAUUAGGUUUGACCAACCCCUCUUAGAGUCCUCAGCCCAGAGGCUCAAGGGCAGCCCAAGAUGGUGAGCAGCAGCCUGAGGAUGUGCUUGGUGCCUACCAGCAGGUCCCUGGCCUUCCAGGUGACUUUGGAAAGUCUCAAGAGUGAAUAUGAGGUACAACUCAAGGUAAGACCCUGUGUUGCCUUCUAAGACAGCUACUCCAGUGAAUGAGGUUCCUUUGGAAUUUAAUAGAGUUUGAUCUAUGGGCCCCACUAUAAGUGUUUUCAACUUUAAUAUUGGAGCCUUUCUGGGAACAGGCUCUCUGGGGCAGCAGCCAUGCCAUCAAGCUGCUGGAGUUCAAGAAGCAUCAAGAAGCUCUGUCAUAUGGUCUGAUGUUUGGUCAGUCCUGGGUGGAGCCAGGAGUUGGACCCAAAGAUCACUGUGGGUCCCUUCCAGCUCAGGACAUUCGAUGAUCCUACAAGGUCAGGUAAAAAAGGAAGCAGCAGCGUAGAAGGACAUCAGAGAACUUUUGUAUUAGAAAACCCCUCCCAAGAAACUGCAAAAAGAAAAAUCCAGACAGAUAAGAAUUGGAACACUGGAGGAGCUUUUCUCUCCCCUCAGUCAUCUACCCAAACCUGACUUGUGUGACUUGAAAUGGGAAAGUCCAGCUGAGACUUUUGUUGAAUGCUAAAUAGGCUAUGGUGCUGCAGUGAUGGCAAACCCUAUAGGGUUUCAAGAGGCAUCAACUGAGCCUUGACUUCCAGAAACAAAAUCCCACUUGGUGUUACUGCAUCCCAACAUAGUGCCAUUGUUAGUUUAACCAGUUUGUUGAUCCAUAUAACCAGUUCAUGAUGCUUUAGUUGCAUGCAUGAGUACUAAUUAGGUUGUCUUGUAUAUAGAUGAGGCAGCUGACUACAUAUCAUGCUUUCUUCCUGACCCUUUGCACCCUUUUCUGCUGUUUCUUUCUCUCAAGGAGGCCUUGUGGUAACAGAUCUUUUCACAUAUUAAAACUGUUGUUUCUAUAACUCAAAAUACUGUGUGUUUUCAAAAGCUUAGUGUGGAAGAUAUAUUUCUAAGUCAUGUUUCUUUUAGUGAACACUAAGUGUUGGCCGUAGACAGCAGUAGACUCAGGAUUUGGUAGUUAACCAGUAAAAAUACUAAAACAGGCAAAGUCUGUCAUCACAUAAGAGACAGCUUUCAACUUUGCUAAAUGUCUUUCUACUUACAAAGUUAAUGCAAACCAGUCACAAUGAUAAAAAUCUGUGACUGUCUUAAAUAGAAAGAAUUCUUGGUUCUUUGUGGUAGAAAAAAAGACUGGAAUUUAAAUUCUUGGGUUUUCCCUCCUCAUUUUUAAUUCCUUUCAUUUGAUUAAAAGAGUUUUAAAAAUGAACAGUCCAAUGAAAGGAGGAAAGAGAAAUGUACACUCGGUUAGAUAAAAAACCAAUCAUUUGAAAGAGGCCCAAACCUUGCAAUUAUGAGAAAUCCAACAGCCUUAAAACAUGAGGACCAGAGCAGAUAGAGAAGGUAAACAGAACCUUGGGCAAAACAGGGUGAAUGCAGGAUUGUUACUGGAGGAUGCCCGAUAAAAACACAACAGGAGAAACCACCAUGCAAACCACUUGCAGCUCAAGAGUAAGAGCAGCAAACAGAGAUUGGAGCUGCAGAUAAGAACAUGCAGAAACUUUCUGAGAGAAAUCGAGGAGAAAAAAUAAGGGCAAUAUUUACAUGAAGAGAAAUCUCAGAGAUCCAGAUGUGCUAAAAGGCCAACAGAAAGGAGAUGAAAGAGAAACCUGGAAGCAACAGAGUUCUGGACAAAUGGCAAAGGACAGAAAACUGCAGCUUUUCCUCCUUAUCUCCAACAUUUCUGCCUGAAGAACGGAGCUCUGGUUGUAUGGCAGCGCAGUGCUCCCAUUGCAGCCUUAUUGAAGGUGUUCUCUACUCUAUAAAAAAAAUCUACAUCAGAAUGACACGAACCAUUCUCUGGAGGUUAUGGUUUUUCCAUGUGUGAAAGUAUAUGCCUAACCACUUAGCUACUGGUUACUUGAUUAUUAAACUGUACUGUCAAAGGUUGGAGAGAUUAAUUCUAGCACGUCUUGCUGCAGGUUUCAGUUAAACUCAAGGUCUUUCUAGUUCUAUUAUAAAGAGUCACUACCACAAGAAACAAAGACAGAAGAACUGCAAGCCACUGCAGUUGUAAUUGCUCCUGUUAGAAGAGCCUAAGGAAGCCAAAACAUCAUCCAAAAACUAUGGAUACAAACCUGACAAAAUAGCAUUCACUCAACAUGCAACUCAUUCUUCCUCUUCCCUACUGAAAAAACUUUGUUUGCAACUUUGAGCAGAAACAUUAAAAAAUAUAUAUUUACCUGUGAGAAAGUUUGAAAUCUCACAUAUGAAAGUGUAUCAUCAAAUGGCCAGGUGUAGAAGAGGUGCACAGACACCUGUACUGCAACAGAGCUCUUAAAUGGUUCCUCUUAAACAUUUAAGCUAAGUAAUCCCAGUUGAUAUGGAGCAGCACUGAUAGUUUUUCUAGUUUUUAAUAGUAAUGCACAGUACAUCAAUGCUAAAAACAUAAUAUUUUUGCACCUGGGCUCUUUUACGAUAGUGUUACUCCUGUGCAAAAUUAAAUGUCAGCAACAGAAGAGUGAUUCUAAAAUGAAAUUGUAAAGAACUGUAUUACUACGCUAAGGAGGUAGUGUGGUGAUUUAAUACGGUGAGUAGCCACACCUGAGUAAUUAAAGAGCUUGUUUUUACAGGGAAGCACUAAGUUUAUUAAGCAAAGGAAAAGUAUUUUGUUACAAAUAGAUUAUCUUAGUGCUUUCACUCAACUUGGUGCAAACCUUCAUAUGGAAACUGGGAUUUGACAGAAGUGUAGCUGGGGAGAAAAAAAAAAAAGGAGAAAAAAUGGAAAAACAAGUAAAAAGUUAUCAAAGCAAGAUCCCUUAAUACAAAAUACUGUAGAUGACAUCCAGAGCAGGCAAAGGCCUUUCUCUGCAGCUGCAGUAGGCGCCCAGCUCCUGGCUCUCCUGUUCCAUAUGGGCUGCUGCAGGCAAGGAGCUGGGAGCAGAAUUAGGAAGGCUCCCACUUCUCCACACUGCAGGUAGUCAGGGUGCUAGCAAGGCUGUUUGACACCCAUCAUCACGUAUAGGCCUGGAGAGCUCUUUUUUAAUUCUACUCAACAAAUGUACAGCAAGUACUUAAGGAAUGCAAAAGAACGUCAUACUUUGUCAUCACGUCAAUGGGAACAGUUGGAAGGGGCCUAAUUCCUGGGCUAUCUACAGAUUCAUAAACGAUAUAUCAUGAUAUCUUAAGUGGAGUUCUGGGCUCUGCAGUGGAGGAGCCGUUGUCUUUCUGACCAGAGCAAUAGGUUUGAGCAGCACAAAAUCUUGAUGAAAGUACUUGGGAAUCUCAGCCCUGUAGCAGCAGAAAAGGUGAGUAUCUAUAGAUAGGUGAAGAAAAAGAGCACUCAUGGCCCAUGCUACCUCCCCACCCUCAGCUUCCCAUACCCAGAUCACUCAAAUUAGCUUUCACAAAGACAACAUUCUCAUAGAAUAUUUUCCCAUUCCAUCCUCAAAAAAUGAGUUUCUUGUAAUCUUAGUAGCUUCCUUGUUUUCCUUCAGUGCAGCAUCCCUUCAAUACUGCCUUGCAGAUUUCUUGCAUCACUCUAUUCAUUAGCUAUAAGGGUGAAAAAGAGAAUUAAAGCAAAAAUAGGGAUCUGUUCCCAAAGCCAGUGAAAACAAUGGGAGUCAAAGGAACUGGCACUGACCAAACAUUUUAUUUUCCCCAGGAGAGCAGAAUGAUCCUAGCCAAAGUUUCAGAUCAUGAAGGUCCUGGUAAUUCAUUCAACACAACAAAACAGAAAUUGACAUUUCAUUUAGGUUCUUACUCCUUGUUAAUCGUGGCACUCACCUCAAGUUAUGUUUGAGCAGAGAGCAACAGUCAUCAUUACUGCAUUAACUGAGCACAGCGAGGUCUUCCAUCUUCCUAUGGGAUUUCAGGCUGACUACUGUACAUACAGUUUCUGACUGCUGAAAGCUGAGAAUAACCUCUUAAAAAAUACAAUCUUUUUUUUUUUCCUCCCUAACUUUGGAAAUUACAAACAGAAGAGCCUGCGAUGUAAAGACACACAGAAGGAAAUGAUCUGAGAGAGGAGCCUUUAAUAAGCUAAAUAGGUUCAGCCUAAUGUACAUUCACGUCUUCAUUAAUUUAGUGGAUGAUUUUCAAAAGAAUGAGCCUCUCUUUCACUGGUGCAGGCAAAGUGCAGCUAAACUCACCCCCUGCUGAUGUGCUGUGGGUAAAAUCAUCCAGAAAUCACUUAAUCUGAAAGGAAAAAUCCUCUUAGGUAUUUCCCAAAGACUCCUUGAAUAGGCUCAGCAUAGGCAAUCGUACAUGGGAGAAAGCAGUUUAGGGGGAGAUUUUCCUACAGCACAACUCCUGCAUUUCCUCAUUUCCCUUUGCCUGCAAGCGAUGAAUCUGUCCCCUCCAGCUCUGACAAGUCUUUCUGGGGCUGCUGGAUGACAUUUUAAAGCUGUUGUUUUGUCUGGGCACCUCACAUGGAGCAUCACAUCGGUCUGUGCCCCAAGUAGCAUGCAGCUGGAAUUCAGACUCCAUAAAUCAAAUCAGAAGAAAUCUCAGGAGAGGGAGCUGUCACACGGGGUCAUGUCAAUGAAAAAAGACCAGCUUUUAAAAAGUGGGCAUGUCUCAGCCCAUUGGUGCCAAAAAGCUGCUCACUGGGGUCUGACUGAAUGUCAAUAACAUCUCUGUUUCCAUCCCAUCUGCUUCACAGCACUCAUUCAUCAACAGAGAGCCUCCACGUGCCAACUGACAGCAUCCACAGCGAGUAGAGAAAAACAGCAUGACUGAACACUGCAGCCCAAUGGCUCACCCAGCACCCUGCCUGCUGCAAAGGAUGUGCUGAGGCAAGAGGCAACUCAGAGACACCAAAAAACUUAGGUAAAAAAAUACACACACACACACACACACUACUAUGACAAUAACCCACCUCACCUCAGCUGAGGACAGUUUAAUGCAAAAGAACAGUUGCUCAAAUACUUUUUGAGGGGAUAUCAUUCGAGUUCUGGGAAAUAGCUGCCUUUCCAUCUUACUAGGCCUAGGAUAGCUGUUGGUUCAAUUCAGAGGCUGAGAUCAGAGAGCUUUCAUUCAUGAGUGCUGUGCCAUGGAGAGAAUCCUCCAGAUAGUACACUUCAAUAUCCUUGUUCUGCUUCGAGCAUACAAAAGAAUUCACAAGAAUUACCUUAGUAUGAACUUCUAUCUCACUGGUGAUCUAACUGCUGUGACCUUGUUGCUGAACACUACUCUUACUGCAUGCAACCUACUUCUUUCCUGGGAGCCUGCUGUCAGCCAUGGUUUUCAACUUCCCAAUUAGCAAAUUUAGACUUAUUUUUUUUUUUCCCCUCUGAUGCCAUCUAAAAUAACCCCUGAUUAAAAGGAAUCACAUUCUGGUAUUGAUUAUCCACGCAGCUUGCAACUAGCAUUACAAUUUUGUUUUGUUGUUUUCACUGUAUGCCUGACCUCUACAUUUGGAGGCUCACAACACUUCAUACUUGACCUCCAUUAUGUUUCUGGUUUCUUAUUCUGUUAAUGUGACCAACAGUGGUUUGUAACACAUACACACAAGAGUCCCCCAUACACAGUCCUUGCUAGGUGACAGAAGGACAAAGCUCUUUGGCCUGAUGUGAUACAGUAACAUGCAUGAGUUGACUUCAUUUUUUGGCCUGGGUUGGUCAAGUGUUACACCAUGUUGAGAAAGACUUUGUACCAUUAGUGGCUUAUUUGCUGCUGGAAAAUCCACAUCUGCUGACAGGAAUAUGAGUGCCAUGGAUUGGUCUGUAAGUUGGUAUUAAGCUUCAGUGGUAAAGGGCAGGAUAUUCUUCCUCCUCUCCCAGUCUGUGAGCGAUGUUGCUGAUCCACAUCCAUUAAUGUUUCUGCUACCAUCCUCCAGCAGUGUGGGAAAACAAAAAACAGACUCUUCAUGUCAACAAGAAAUCUGGAAAAAACACAAAAACAGGGUUUCAUAAUCAAAUAAAUGUUUCUGUCCUUAUACAGCAUAAAGCUGCAGCAAAGAAAAUGAAAUAUAUUCAUGAUUCCCCUGCAGUAAACAUACUUGCAGUCUGAAAAACAGUAUCAAGUACACAGGGAUCAUCUACAUGUCACUGUAACUGCACACUGCAAUUGAGAAGCAAACAGCUUUUAGAAGACACUGAGAAAAACUCUAAUUUUAGGCACAGAGAGCAUGUGUUCACACUGCUGCAUGAUGGAUGCAUAAUAGUGUGCUCCAGACAACCAACCUUAAAAUAUCUGAGACCUUAUUGUGUUAUUGGUGUUUAUAGUUUGUACUGCAGUCAAGCCUAAAAGCCCUAGGGCCUCAAUUGUGCUGUGGAUGGCAUAAACAGAGCAGAAAGACAGUCCUUGUCCCAUCGAUACUGCAAACUAAAUGAAACCUUGUCCAUCACCUUCUCUCCAGCCUUACAGCUCUUUCUACCUUAGAUCUUCAGCACAUAACCUCUCCCAGGUAGGAAUAAUGUGCUUCUAGCAUGUCUGGAUGGCACUGGUUUUUGAGUGGUUGUUGAAUAAACAAAAUGCACUGAGAAGAGCUGUUUGUCUUCUUUUUGAGAAUGGGAUCCAGUGUUUUUUGGGGGAUAUUUACACUACGAUUGUUUUUUGGAACCCACAGAAAUAUAAAUCGUAAUAACUCACAAAUUUUCCGUGCUGUUGUGUAAUUCCAUUGUAAUUCUCUGGAAUUCUAUUGAAAUUCUUCUCACAGAUGCCUCUGUCCUUUGCUGGAUCUGGCCAAGAAUUGAAUGUGGGAUGAUGAGGAGCCUUAAUAUGACAGAUGAACAUGUCCAUCAACACUAUUGUGAUUCUAAGUAGUCAGAUUCUUUUUCAGUUCCUUUCUCAGAGGCUGUGGCACUGAAUGAACCAACACUGAAGUCAAGCACAGCAGAAAAUUUACUUGCUUCUGCUUCUAUCUGACCAGCAAAAUAACAUUUUCUCAUUAAUUUCCUGCUGUUAUUUUUAAGAAAUUAAAGGUUAGGUAAGAAUCUUAGUGCUAUGGAUUAGUUAGGCUUCUAAAUUUUUCUUUUCUCAGACAGAACCAGCUGAAAACUAGUUGAUAUUAGGUGUUUUUUAGAACACAUUUUGGACUAAAACUGUCUCUACCUUUUUUCACAACUCUCAGAGCACUCUGGGGCUCUCUUAGCAAGUGAUGUGACAUGCCCACCUUUCCCAGCCUUCCAGGAGCCUGCCCACUUCUGCUUUUCCUCUUGGUCUCCUUCCAGCUGCUCACUGAGCCUCUUGCCAGACUCACCUGCAAGAAAGCUUCUUCCAGGUGGAAUCUCACAUUAUUACCAUUUCCUGCAGGCCUCAGAUCCACCUUGAAUGUGAGCAUCCCAACAUGAGAAUCGUGGCUGAUUCUGGUCCCAUGCACUCUUCAAAGAUGCAGCCAUCCCAGACAUGACAGGAGGAGCCUGGGCUUGCAGAUGGGACAAACAGUGCAGGAGCCUGCUGAUGCACAACUUCUGUUUCUUCAUUACCCCAGAGUCAUGCUGAAGGAGACUGUUGAGGUCUAUGAGCCUUCCUGGACCAACUCAAUGCCAUCAUCUCUCAUCCCAAGGGAUGUUACAGCAAAAAGCCACUGGUGCCUGCAUGGUGCAGAUGUUCUGAGUUUGGUAAUUACUCACCAAGAAGAUUAAAGAUCAGGUGGUCACCUCAGUUGCAUCUACUUUAUCACAGCCCUGAGGGCUCUCCCCAAGUCUCAGGAGCAGAGAGAUGCAGUUGGUGUCCUGCAGAUCCAGCUGUCAGUUCCCAGCUUGCAGCAUUGGUGUUCUGAGGCAGGCAGAGACUACAGGAAGGCUAAUUCUCCAUUAAAGAUAUGGUCCUGGGAUGUCUUACUAAGAACCUAAAAAAAAAAUAUCCUGCCUUGAGUGUCCUCUUUCUAAAUCUAACCCAAAGCUUACACUGGUCACCAACUGUGAACUGGAUGCACAUCUGUUCCUCUGGAUUAGCUACAGCCUCCCCCCACCCUAUGUCAGACCUCACAGACCAGCCAGCCCCAUGCCUCCAGCCCAGUCUAUGGGUCCAAACUCAGCUACUAGUGCUGCUCUUAUUUGUGCUGGGCUUAUGCCCCUGCCCACUUAUUUAUUGAAGCAGCCAACGAGUUGCUCAAACCCACAAGAGAUGGCUCUAUUUCUCUACCCAGCCCCAUCAUGAUCAAUUGUUCCCACCACUUUGCCGUUUCUGCAGAACGUGUGCCAGUUUUAUUUCCAAGAAUGCAACAACACGAACGUUUUUCAAUUACUCAGAUAGAUUUUUAGCUUGUCAUCGUCUGCCAUUCACUUGAAUUGUGCACCCUCGCCCUACCUCAGCUCACUGGUGUGCUGACACGGGCUGUGCGAGGUUGCUCCCCAUUGCAGCACUAAGGAGCAGGAUGCUGUUGCCCUGCCACGUGUGGCGACGCCGUGCUCCUCUGCAUCUGGUUUCUAAACAAACCCCCUACAACAGACCAAUCUGUUAAACCUUUGAGAGCCUCAUUUCCAGGUUUCAACAACAUUCUCUUCAGAAAUGAGCACUUCAUGGAGUUCAUUUAAGGUUGUCGAAGCCACAAGUUGCUGUCAGCGCUAUUUACCACUUCAGUGGCUCAGCUAAGGCCUCAGCUGCUGCAAGCCAGCUCAGUGCUAAUAGCUGAGCCUUCCUGAUUUACAUCAACCUCUGCCAAGCUGACAGCCAUCCUCCACUGCCUCCCAGUAGCUGUCUGUGUACACAUUUGUUACAGACAGCACAAAAGCAGAUUUCCUCCUGCCACCCCUGUCCAGGCCCUGUGUUUAUACUGGAGCAACCAAGCACGGUGGAUGCCCCAUGCUAUGCAGUCAGCUGGGCCCUGCAGCCUGCUCUGUGCAUGCGGUACCUGGGGCUGCCUUUCAGGAUCAAGUCUGGGAUAUUUCCUCCUCAGUCUUGCUUCCUUUAUGGGCUCUUAUCCCUUACCUCACUGCAAGCCCUCACCUCCUUUGUUUGGUAACUGGACAGAGGGAACAGAACUCCCUUGUCCCAAACAUCACUUUGUAAUUCUCUGCACUUUUCCCAGGCAGAGCAACUCAGCUCAUCUACAGUCAAAAGGCUUUUUACCUAUUUUUAAUGCCAUUCCUACCCCUGCUCCUUUCUGACUCCCCAAAACAUGGCUCUCACAGACCCAAGCCUAAAUGCCCCAAACCUUCUCAAACCCCUUCCAGUUAUACAUAAAAACUACUGACAUCUUUGAUUUCACACCCUCUAUCUCAUUCCACACUUCUGCAACACUCAGUGUAAGCUCCAGAGCCUAUAGAAAACAAACCACCAGCUCCCCCAGCCAAAGGCCCCAAUGGCAUCUGGUCCAUCUGUUCCAUGGCAAACUGGCAGCACAACAAUAACUUCCAGUAAGCUGAGGAGCGGAUGGUUUUAGUGAGUAAAACCACUGCGCCUUCUGUCUUUUAUUUCAAUAGUAAAUUUAAUUUUAUUAUCUUUCCCCCAGUUUGCCACAGGAUUGUGCUGAGGGCCCUCACAACUGAGUUGCAACAUGGGAGGUUUAUCAGCCUUGGAAGUGGGAGGGUCUAAAACACAGUUUGCACCUCCUGCAGAAGCCUGGCUCUUAACAAUGAGCUGGGACUGCAUGCAGUGAGCCCCAGACAUCCUAUUCUGGGAGCUGCUCACAACAUGCUGGCAGUGGCAUGGUACAGAGGGCACUGGGAGAUUGGGGACAUCAGAACGGUGGCUCUGGUGAGGUUUCAGGAGCUACUCUCCAUGCCCUUGCUGGGGAGCAAUUACCAUCCCUACCAUAUUUUCAAGAUAUUUUCACCUUUAAAAUUUUACUUUAAAAACCAAAAUCUGAGACUUCUUAUUGCAUGCUUCCAGCGGCUGGAGAAUUAAGACAAGCCUUACAAUGUAGCAUGAAGAAAUGGUGAGAGCUGACAACAUAAUAUCACAGUUUGACAAGAAUCAUAGAAUCAUUGAGGUUGGAAAAGACCUCCAAAGUCAUCCAGUCCAACCAUCCAUCUACCACCAAUAUUGCCCACUAAAACCACAUGACACGAAUACUGUAGAAGCAUAGAAUUGUUUGAGUUGGAAGGGACACUUAAAGGUCAUCUUGUCCAUAUCCUGCAUAAGAGGGAGUGAUUCCUCCCAGAAUGUUUGCAAUUCAAGAAAUUUAAUGCUCAGAUCUCAUGUUUUUGUGUCCUCAUGAGAGGAUUUUUAAAGAACAUAUCAGGAUAUUGUGCUCCUGCACUGUUUGUUAAUAGUUUCCUGCCUCCCUUCAGGAAAAAUGAAAUAUUUCUUCUCUGAGCUCUUCGUGCAAUCUUCUGUCAAGUCAAAGCAGAAAGGAAAAACUAUUUACACUAUUUUAUUAGGCCAAAUGUCAAUUUGUUUUUCUGAAAUCUUUACCAAUCUUCCUGGCAUUUAAUAUGCAAACAGAAAUAUAUAUAUAUACACACACAUAUACUAUAUGUAAUAUAAUAGUAUAUUAUAUAAUACUAUACGAUAUUAUAUAUAUGUAUAUAUAAGUAUAUACAUACAUAUAUAUAUAUAUCUUUCAUUUCUUGUGACAGUGCCUGAAAUAUCCAACAGGCUGAUGCACAGAGCAGUAUUUCUUUCAUGUGUAAGAAAGGGAGAGACCAAAUGUGCUAGAGAAGGUGGAUAGCAGCUGGGUAGGAAGGAAAGGCAUGGAAUCACUUUGUUUUUGUGAGUCUUUUUAAUCUGGUUUCAUUAAUCUCUACUGAGCCUGACUAUAGACAGCAUACCUUCCAUUUUACCAGAAUCUUGGUCCUGCCCACAAAAAACAGCCUUUUUCCACAUGGAGAAAAUACUCCAAUUUCUACUCCACUCAGAAAAUCCACCUUGUUUCCAGUUUGGUUCAGCAUUAUUACACCAGGCACAAGGAGCUGCAUCCCAGUGCCUGCCCCUGCCUACCCAGCCCAUGGGGCAAGCUUGGAGCAGCUGGUCCUACUGCUCCGUGCCUGCCCAGGUCAGCCUCUGGUCCACAGGAAAACAUUUCUUAUCUGCCCACUGAGUUUUUCUCUUAAAGAGAGAGGUUUUUUCUCCCAUUUCUGCCUCCCAGGGGCUGUGAAAAGACUCAUAAGCAACACUCCCAGGCAUUUGGUAGAAAGAGAUAUAUUUCAUUCACACAUGAUUUUGACCAGAACAGCUUGUGUAGGGAGAGGCAAUGGCAAAUAACCAGUCCUAAGUCAACCCAAAAAAAGGUGGUGGUCAAAAUCCAGUUAAAGAAAGAAAGAAAGAGUUACUUAUCCACCUCAAGGAUCAGGUCCUGUUCAAUAUUCCAAAGGAAGGGAUCUCCAGGUAGAAAACCUUCCCUUGUGGCAGCCAGCCCUUAAAUGAGGCUUAGAAAAGGGUGGAACCUGUUUUCACCUGUGCUUACAGGACCGGCUGUGUCCCUUCGCCGAGUGCUCAAUCAUUGGUUCAGGCUGUGACUUAGCAAUUCCCAUAUAGCUUUACAGGUAGUCACCCUUAUAUCCACAAUUGCCUAUCAGCAGAUUUGUGCCAUGCUGAGAUUACAUUCAAAGCUCAGAGUAUGAACCACGUAUGAAGUUGCAUUCUAUGAGCUGGAACUCUUGUAUUCCUAGUCCCACUAUUUAUAAGCACUGAAAGAAGCCUGUAUUUUACUUAAAAUAUGAUUCAUCCAAUGGCUCAGUGUGUCAGCAGCCUCUUGUAUUCAGUUUUGGGGCCUCAGCCCUUGUCAGGGAUGUGUCUGUAAAAUAUAAAUCACCAUAUUAGUAGACUUUGGGCAUCACAUAGGUUUUAUUUACAUUUGUGAUGUUCUCAGAAGAGAGGACUCUACCAAAUUCUCCCUUCAGUUUGGAUAUUAGGAAAAACUUCUUCAAAAGAGUCACUGGGCACUGGAAAGGACUGCCCAGGGAGGUGGUGAAGUCACUGUCCCUGGAGGUGAUGUGUAGAUGUGGUACUAAGGGACAUGGUUUAGUGGGCAAUACUGGUGGUAGGUGGAUGAUUGGACUAGGUGGUCUUAGAGAUCUUUUCUAACCUAAAUGAUUCUAUGAUUCUAUAAAUGACCUAUUGGUUGUGGGCUACUGGUAUCAACUGGUCUGAAAGUAAGUUCCUGUUAUCUACAAAUGUAACUACUUUUCCUUUUUCUUAGUCUUUUUGCAUUUGUUAACUUAUCAGAGAGGAAGCAGGAGGUACCUGGCAUUAAGAGACUCACCCAAGGUUGCAGAGUGAGUCAGUCGUGGAGCCCAAAUGAUGUCCUGGAAGUUCCUUUUAUGUAUUUAUUAUUUUCAUCGUAUUCUAUAAUAAAAGUGACUAGGAAGAAGUUUAUGAAUAUUAGCAUUCAUCUGAUGAAUACAAGGCCAAUCGUUCCAUGAAGUGAUGCAGUUGGCUUGAUAACGCUGAAGGAUUCCUAAACCUAUAAAACCCAUGUAUGACCUUCCUCCUGCCUACUGUCUAUUUGAAUGACAGCUGGUGAGAGAUUCCUAGAGACUUUUUCUCUACCAAAAGCUCAGGUGGUGCUCUGCAGCUCCAUCAUGUUAGAUCUUUCCAAACUACUUGGAAAGCACAGGGCAGCAGUGGGAUAUUGCUGCCCAGCCAAAGCCCCUUGGGGCUUCCAUUCCUACAUGUUCUCAGCCUUCUUCCAACUACAGCACUGACUGCUGCUCUGAGUCCAGCAGAAUGGCCUGAUUUUAGAUAUUCUCCUAAGAGUGACCCACAGGACCAACCCUCAUUUGAGAAGGAAGGUUUUCUUGAGUGCUAGAAGCAAUCUACAUCACUGACACCACAAGUAAUUCCUUUGUAGUAUCACAAAAAUGUGUCCAAUAGGCAAGAUGCUCCUUUCCUGGUGCUCUGCUCUCCUGUAAUGGUUUCACGUAACAGUGCAACUUUCAGCAACGAUCAUUUUGCCCAACUCAGAUCUUUUCCAUCUGCUGUGGUCUGUGCAGGGUGCUUUAAUACCUCGACCCUCUUGGCUAUUAGCCCACUGAGGCUGUCUGUUAGGAUAAAAGAAAAAGGUGAGAUUAUAUUCUCCCCUCCUGGCAUCCCAACACACUUCUAUUUUUCUGUAAUAAUCCUGCUUACGGAAGAUGGAUUUCUAAGGAGAUGUUGUAUGUUAGACAUGGCCAAAAAAAAUUAGCUAUAGGCAAAAAACUGCCCUGAAGAAGAAAAGUAUUGCUUUUAUUGAACUUAAAACCAAACACCCUACUUUGAUCUACUUGUUUUUGAAAAGAAAAGAAAUUCAGUUUGGGGGAAAAAAAAAAAACCACCAAAAAACAGCAGUUUCAGCUCAAAUAUUCUUGUUUUCGGCUAAAAAAUUUCUAGAUUCAACCAGAAUAGAGGUAUAUAUUUUUAACAGAUCGUCAAUGAAAUCUCCUGUAUAUGGAUAAGUAAUAAAAGGAUGGCACACGGCCCAAACAGUGUGCAAUCUAAGUGAUAUUUAGGCAUACUUCAAGCCUCAGCUACCACAGAAAUCGAUUUAUGCUCCCUUUUAUCUUUUUUAUUGUAGUUUAUUUCUUAUGUCUUCGGCCCACAGCUAAAGGAUUAUUGCAGAUGGCUCAGGGCAGGGGAAGGAAAGGUGAGGCUCACUGGGCUCUGGCUGUCUCCAUCUAAGAUGAGUUCUUAUGGGAUGCCCCAGUUCCAGAUCAAACUCCAACGGCAGAGGAUGGGACCUCCCGAUCCCAAGGCUGGCACACUGGGAUGUGGUUUUCCUUCUGCCUUCUGCACAGGCGCUGGGCUUGGAUGCACGUUCAGGACAUAAACUUCCCCAGGACCUGGAAACAUGAGUGUGCUGUGUCUGGGUCGGGCCUCUCUCUGUUAAAAACCCACUGUCAUUGCCUUCUGGUAAAUGGUGAUCAACGCAUGUUUUACAAACCACAGGGAACCGCGCAGUUAUCCAGCGCCUUUCACCAGCGGCUCUCAAAGUACCGCACAAACAAAUAACCAAGUUUUACAAUAACUUUAUAUUGCAGCUUUUCUAGACAGUGGGAAGCUGACAUCAAAGGGGCUUCCCACCACUGUACAGCAAAACUGCGCAAACUUAGGGGCACAACACAGGAAUCCCGAUUCCAGCUCUGAUUUCAUCUCGCAGGCAAGAUUUGUUAUUUCUCCACUUCCUUCUGGCAAUUGGCCCAAGGUUCCUAUCGCUGCUGGCCAGAGAUAGGAACAAUCAUUCACACCGGCGUACUUUUUAUUCUCUUUAAAAGGAGCACAUAAAAUGAAUCAACUUGAGAGAGCGGAAGAGAUGCAUAGGGAACAAGGGGAGCUCUUUACAAAGUGGCUGGUCGAACACACACCAAAAUCAGCAGAUGUAGCAGGGCAGGGGGAGCAAAGGAAAGCCCUUUCGCUGCUUUUUGGGUGCUGCCCUGAAUUUCUGCCCUGCCGUGGUUGGUUGAGGUCCCAGGCUAAAUAAUUAUCAACAACUCCUAUUAAUGAAUAGCACCAGAAGCCCUAGUGAAAAAUCUCAGGUCCCUUACUCACAAUUCUAGUCACUUCCCCAACCUACUUCUAAAAUUAGAAACAAACAGGCCCCUUCUAAAAGCAAUAAACAGCACUUUAAUUGGACUGAAGCCUAUAAAUCUGUCAGCAGCUAGUUACUCCAACUCCAUUGUGAGACCAGCGCCUUUGAAGCCCCUCCCUUGCCUUCCACUGCUGUGCACUGGGAUGCAGUGUGAUGGGGCUGUGAGGUGUAGGGCUGGGGGAUUGCUCCGGCUCAGAUGGACAUCAUGAUAGAGCAGGAGGAGAAGCUCAGGCUGCAGAUGGCUGCUGCAUGUGGUCUGUGAGCACAGCAGCAGAAUCAUAGAGUCAUAGAAUAUCCCAAGUUGGAAGAGACCCAUAAGGAUCAUCGAGUCUAACUGCUGACAUGAGGUGAUGUACUGCACUUAGAAGAUACAUCUCACAUCAGGGCCGUGGGAAAUGCAUAUUAAAAUGCAUUUUGCUUAGCUAAAACUACAUUUUCUUAUUUUUUAUUAUUUUUUUUGUCACCAAAGAUUGCUUUAAAGAAAAUCCCACCUGGUUUGAAAUGAUGCCACAUGUUAGUGUCAUAAUGCAGCAGAACCCAGCAAAUGGGUACUAAUCAGUCCAGUUUCCCUUAGAAAGAGGCUGUGUAAAGGGAAAAUAAAUUCAACAGCUGCUAUUUCAGACGUUUCAGCUGUUUCGAAGGGGAAAAGGGAUGGCAGCCUUGUAGCAAAGGGCACUAUCUGCAACUUCAGGAUUUUCUCCAGUUUGGUGCAAACUGACCUGAUUCCUAACAGGGAAUGUGUGAUGUGCAGAGACAUGUCCCAGUUGAGCCACUGAAGUACCUCUGUGUUCAGAUGGUCUGCUGGGCCACACAUGGCCUUCAUGUGUCAUCCAGCAGAAGCGAAACCGCACCAGAGACAAAAGCAGACAGUGGAGAGUGGGGAUAGGACACACAGGUGAGCAUGUUCCUUCCUGCCCCUCCAGUGAGAUUGGGUUCAGGGCAAGAAAUAAAACUGCUCUCUUUAAAAAAGUGCUCAGGAAGAGGGGAAAAAAAGAGAUAUUUUUAGUACUACCUCAAGAACAAAUAAUGAAAACUUGCACAGAGGUGUUAUUGAGUAAAAGAUACAGGAAGAUCACAUUGCAAGAAUAAGAUGAGGUGGCACACAGGCAUCUUAUAGGCAGAGUUCCUGAAACUGUGAGAAUGAUCAUAGAAUCAUAGAAUUGCUUGAGCUGGAAGUAGGAUUUAAAGGCCGCCUGGUCCAACUCUCUUGCUAUGGAUACCUACAGCUCAAUCAGGUGCUCAGUGCCCUGUCCAGAUGGACUCUGAAUGUCUCCAGGGAUGGGGCAUCCACCACCUGUCUGGAAAACCUGUGCCGGUGCUUCACUGCUCUUAUUGUAAAAAAUAUAUAUAUAUAUAUCCAACCUAAACCUCCUCUUUUUUAGUUUGAAACCAUUUCCCUUUUCCUAUCACAACAGACCCCGCUAAAGAGUCUGUCCCCCUCUUUCUUGUAGCCCACCUUUAGAUACUGACAGGUUGCCCUUAGGUCUCUUCAGAGCCUUCUCUUCUCCAGACUGAACAGCCCCAGCUCUCUCAGCUUGUCCUUGUAGGGAGGUGUUCCAUCCCUUGGGUCAUUUCUGUGGCACUCUUCUGGACCUGUGUGUCCUUCUUGUCCUGUUUCCUCUCCGUUUGGCUCCAUGAGGACCUGAGAGGUUUCUUGCCCUCAGUAGCAGAGGACAUUGCUCCAUGCAGUGUGAGCAUUCACAUAAACAGAAGAACGUGAGAGCAAAUAAGAACUGACACAGCACGAACUGCCCAGUGCCACCUAGCCUUCCCCAAAUAAAUGCCAAGAAACAACAUUACAUACACAUUAGAAAUAUAUAUAUCUAUAUAUGCACAUGUACUCACUAAGUGCAUGUAAUGCUCUCUCUCAUAAGAAAAUGCUGGCAGCCUUUCAGCAAGCCGUCCUCAGCUGCUAAUAAGAAGCACAUCCUGCUUUCUGGAGGUGUGUGGCACUGUGAAUACAUUCAAGCCAUUCCUGUGGAGGGAUUGCUCUUAAAAUCCUUCAGAUGCCUUUGUACCUGGAUAAAACAUUAACACAAACUUCACACACUGAGUGUGGGGCAGAGUGGCAAAUCCCACCUCAGUAACAGCUGUGGUGGUGUCACCUCUAGAAAUCAGGAACUUAAAAGCCAAAGUUUGGCUUGAGUAAUCUUGAGUUUUAAAAAUAGAUCGUGCAUUCAAGGUGCUGUGAAAGCAAGUGUUUUAAUCUGAAAUACCUUGGUCUAGGGCUGUCACACUGUGAGAUGGGACCGCAUUCCUGUGCAGCCUCCCAGAGCUGCUCCCAGAGCUGCAGCCGUGCUUCAGAAAGAAAAAUAGUACUACAUUUUAGCAGUGUACCUGUGAGAACAGCUGACCCUCUGGACCAUUAAGAUAACCCCGCAUUUCUAAACAAAAGGGGUUUUUAGUUUUUCUGUUCCUAUGAAAACACACUGGAACAUUUCACCACAGUCUUCUUUCACUUUAAUUAGCCAGGAAAGACAAGGAAUGCCAAAGGGCAAUUAUAGAAAAUAUAUACUGUACUGAUUAGGAAUCUCCUUUCUGUAGCAUGAAGACAUCAGCUUGAAGUUCACAUUAAACCCCUCUCCCCCUCUAACGAGAUAUGCCUUAUCCAACCCAGAAAGAUACAAUUAACUUGGGAAAGAAUGCAGCCUUUCUCAGGGGGAAAAAUGAUUGGGGAGGGGAGGAAGAACUCAUGUUAGAAGGUGAAGGGCUGAUCUUGAAGGCUCUGGUCACAUCAUGGCCUAUGGGGAUCAGCGCGUGUGGAAUCCAACCUGAGGGCUGCUCUCUCCCUGGCAAUGGCGACGUUGUCGUUUUGCUUUUUUUCUCGUAACAUUUGCUAUUGUUUUAGGGGCACUGUGCCUCCCAGGACCCUCCUCAGCCUGGAGCAAGGUCAGGGGGACAGGCCCGCUCCCCAAAUGGGAUACAGCAGGGCAGAUGUGGGCUGCAGGAGGCACAGGCCAGAGGCAACGCGGAGCAGCCAUUGCCAUUGUUCUGCAGGGCCUUGUUCACAAUCUCUGCACGGUUGGGCUGUGGGAGCAGCUGGGAGCAAUUACGGCACAUGAAAAGAAGGGCACGGGAUUAGGCAAGUGAUGAAAAAGCGAGGGGACCGCUAGAUUUAUCACUGGCAGAGCAAGGCAGCCCCUCUCCAGAGCCGGCCCUAUCCCAUGUCCCUAUCUUUGUUCCUGUCCCCUGGGCAGGAGUGACAGUGCCAGGAGCUGCAGGAGAGGAUCCAGUUGUGAGGAUUGGCCCUGAGGUGGUGAGGAUCAGUCUCCCUUUGGGUCCCACCAAGAGGACAGGGUGAAGUCCAUGGGCAGAUUUCAAUCUCAUCCUCUCUUUAUAUGGGCAAAAAAUAAAGUAAAAAAUAAGCAGAUGAGGCACAAGUUUUGCAUUCCUUGUGAAAUUUCUUCAGCUCUUCCAUAUAAUCAGCAUUGUAAAAUAGCAAAAACAAAACAAAACAGAACAAAAAAACCAAAAAUCCCUCGUAGCUUUCUUUUUUGCGAGGACUGAGGAGUACAAGAAAGGUUACUCAGAAGGUAAAGCAUGUGUUUGCCAUCUUAGCUCCUGAUAUGGAAACCAUAUGCUUAAAUACACCACCAAACAUACUCAAUAUAACACUCUUUUUUAUUAAAGGUGGUUUUAUAAAAGCUAUCCACCUUCCAUCCACCAGUGACUCCCAAAGAGGUCACAUAUUCCUCAUUGCAACUAUCAAUAUGUAUUUGGGGUAAAUUAAACUCCAAAUAGACUGUUUCUGAUUAUUACUGCAAAGGGAGCAAGAGGCCAUCUUAUUUUCCCUCACUGAUAAAUUAAAAGAACUGUAAUGGGUGAUUUCUGCAACCUGUAAAAGGGCAAAACCAUCUGUAACUCAUUUAGUGUCGCUUUAAAGAAAAUUUAUUUGAUUAAUUUGGGUAGAGUAUAGAAAGAAUAUAGAUUUAAGAAAUAGUAAUAAUAAAGCCCUCUACUGCUCAAGAGGAAGAAGGGAAGAAGCAGCAGCAGAAGAAAACUCCGACCCAAAAUAAACAUUUGAGGGAAUUAAAACAUGCUUCAUAUGCUAUUAGAAAUAUUCCUUAUACAGGCUGCUGCCUUGAUCUUGAGAGAGCUGAUUUUUGCCCUGCCAACAAGAAGACCUUGCCACGACAUGGCUCUAAGAGCACCCAUGUCACAGAACUUCUUGUCAAAUAAACUGUUGUUAAAUGCAGCACCUGAUAGAUAAAGAGAUAAAAACGAGUAGGGAGAAAGAAGAGGGAGAAAGGCUGGCAACUGUCCAUCCUUCAAAGCAGAGUUGAUGGUAGUGACCCAAACUUCACCACCUUUGUCUGGCCUGACAAGCAGGAAGUGGAGAAAAGAUCAAAAGAAAGUGGAAAUCAAAAGGAUUAAUACAUUGAAAUUCUUCUGUUUUGCCACAGGCUGUCACCCUAGCUCCACACAUGGCUCAGCCAGCCAGGCGUGCUCCAUGCAAAGCAAGGGGAGAGAAAUAGCUAUAGAAGCUCAGAAGUUUUCUCCUCCUGAAAUUUCAUUGGCCUGCAGGUUACCCGCAAUCCCUACUCCCCUGCUGACAAUUUGGAGAGCAAUAUUAAAUAGUAACGAUAAUAAAUACUAAUAGGUUAAUCUCCGUAAGUCAUGCCAAAUUCUAUGGGGCCAGGGUUUGGCAAAAGCGGUCUGCCUCAGAUGUGGAGUAUCUAAUGACAUCUUUACUGUUGCAGGGUGUGCAUGUGGCAGGCGGAGAUGUCAUUUGCACUCUGACACAGGCUAAGUCACUUACAGCUAUGGAUCUCAUCAGAGGCUUGCACUGGGCCCUGGCCAAACCUUGCUUAAAUCAAAGGGCGGGUUUGCCUUAUUGUCUCUGGGCUGCUUUUCACUCACCCUGGGAGGAGGCAGGAGGCAGGCAGAGCUCCAGCCCUCUCAGCCAAUAAGUCUGGGUCUGAUGUGCUGAAACCGUGAAGGAUCUUUUCUUUGGCUUCAGUGAGCCGUAUACCUGGGCAAACCUAGUGCUCCGUGUGGUUAUUUGUUCUUGAUGACCUCAUAUCGUCCCUUUUUCCUCUCUUCUGGGUUAUCUUAAAGUCCCCAUUUUGUUUUUCAGAGGUUGGAGUUAAAGACAUCUGCUCAGAAAUCCAUAGGGAGACAUGUUACGGUGUUCAGCCCCUCUGCAAUCAAUGGACGUGAUAUGCCUACACUGCUCCGAGGCUUUAGGACCGGUGGAGAUGGGUACCUGCAAGGAUCUGGAUCUCCCUUAGAAGCUGUGACUCAUCCAACUGCAUUCACUCCCCAAUAGCACCAGCACGGGCGCGAUCCCACGGGAAGCUCUCCAUCACCCCAGGACUGACACACUACUUACCACAUGCCUCAUCUCCCUCUGCUGAGCUCCUCAUGAGUCAGUUGGACUGCAUCCCUACAGUCACAUGGCUCGCUCCACUUUGAAGAUCUUGGAUAAAAUCACCCUUUCCAGGACAAGGAAACUUCUGGUUUCGUAGCUUGCAGCAGAAAGCACAGAUGGACCUUCACACUGUAAAUGGGAAGAGAGGAAAAAGUACUAAUCUUUUCAGGGCAUUUUGGAAACAAAGCAGUAAGAAUUUCUGGAAAGCAAUAAUGCAGCAUUUGCAAUACUGGGGAAAUGACAGAAAACUGGGGAAUACUCAUCCAGAUAUUUUAUUGCUAAAAAUUUGUUACAAUAUUUCUCAUGAAAUAUGUUGAUUUUCUUAAUUAAGCAGUAGCUGAAGUGUAGGUGCAGCCACCCUCACCCUGCUAAGGUCAGAUCUUCUCCAUACAUUUCAGACUUUGCCGUGAUUUAUGCAAAGAAAGAUCCAGUGAUCCCAUGGUGCCCUUCAGCUCCUUUUGCCACAGAGGAAUGUCAGCUUCAGGCCUGAAAAUGCUCGAAGCAUUCAGAUAUGUUUUUGAUAUGCAGACUGUUCAGCUUCAUUUUUUUUCUCACGUUGUCUCCUUAUUCUGAGUUGGGCACUUCUUGCCAAGCAACAAAAGGAAUUCCGUUUGACAUUAGGGUAAAUGGCCUUCAUCUGGGUACUACAUAAUGUUGACUGUGUGUGGUAUCAUGAAGGCUCCUGGCUGAGCAGCAAAGACCUGUGAGAUAAUGCUGGUGCGAGUUUGUGCUAUGGCAUCACACAGGGAAACCUCCUGGCUUGUUUUUACAAGUACCUCUCCAGCAGAAGAUUAUUGAUCUCUGAAUCAACACAGUGACACGGGAUCGUGAUCCAGCCAACAUGGAGAUUCCACUGAGCAUCAGAUAGACUUGUAAGUCCUGACCCACCUAUGGAAAUACAUGGAAAUCUCUCCCCUGAUGUCAUCAGGAGCAUCACUGGGCAAGAGGAAGGAAGGCAGGUACACUGCCAGCAGUCUGGUGGUCCAUAACCCUUCAGAAGCACUGAACAAGAUCAGCUGCAAAGGAUAAUCAUGCUCAACUGCAGGGCUGCAGUGGCCCAGUGAACAUGGGGAGCCCCAGCACCUCAGGGGUAUAGGCUACACUGAAUGCUGUUCCGCUGAUGGAAGAGAUUCUGUGCUCAGUGCUAUCAGAAACAGAAAAUACUUUCACAAACUGAGAGGGCAAAAUAGCUGUUCCCAACCCAUCUUCAGUCACGCAAUCACAGAAUCAUUUGGUUUGAGAUGGAUCUCUGAAGAUCUCUUCUCUGAGCUCCUGCUCAAAGCAGAGUGAGUGCUGAAUUCAGACUGGGUUGCUCAUGGCUUUGCAUAUUAGCCCUCAGAGCCUUCAAGGAUGGGGAUUUCACAGCCUUUCUGUGUUACAGAACUGUUGUCUGCUGUUGCUAUCUGCUGCUCCAGCUUUUCCCAAAACUCUGCUGCUGCUCUCACACAGCUUCUUGCUCACCCUACAGAGCCAGAGCUCUGCAGAAGCCAAAGAGUUCCCAAAUAGGAACUGCUGGCCCUUCCCCUUCCCACACUAGAGAGACCUUUCCUGGCGCUCCGUCAUACGGUUAACACAUGCUGUCUCUGCCCUGCCAGCAAGCUGUGAUCCAGAGUGCUGCUCCUGGCUCCGUCCCAUUGCAGGGAAGGGGCUGGAGCAUGGCCAGACCCCCGGCCCACCUGCUGGGCUUCCUGCCCCCACCACAGCUUGGGACAGGGCAGGGGGUAUAGGCCUGGGCCUGGCCCCAGCACAGAGCAGGGUGCAACACAGGUGUCUACCCAGAGUUGUGUUCCUUUCUAUGGUGCACAUUUCACUGCAGCCUCUGUGCCCAGCAACGGGAUGGAGCUGGCACUGGAUGAGUCAGAGAUGGAGGAAGGAAAGUCUGGCAGGGAGGAAUGCUUGUGGCCUUCUCACCAAACAUCUCAUACUGCUCCUUCCCCUAACCUAAGGAAACGAGGCUCCAGCCAGUGGUUUUGGAUGCUUUUCCCCAAAACCGGUUUCUUUCACAAUGGGUUGUUUCGUCCUCAGCCUGGGCCCCAUGGGGAUCUGAGCCCUGUGGGCUACAUGCCGCAGCCUGGAUGGACCUCCAUAGAUAGAGGGGGCUGAGAGGGCAUCGUGCUCCGGGACCCUUCCCCUAUGGAGGGAAAGGAGACCUCCAGCUUGGGUUGUCUUGUGAAAUAAAGCUCCCGCCUAUUGCUGUCUAGGCCAACAUGGCAGCUGGGAGGAGGAAAAGGAG
This 24917-nucleotide long non-coding RNA is filed under the name Gallus gallus (chicken). RNAcentral describes it as "lncRNA (ENSGALG00010023133.1)". The record is from RNAcentral. Lineage: Eukaryota; Metazoa; Chordata; Aves; Galliformes; Phasianidae.